Molecule: ribosomal RNA, 193 nt
Filed under: uncultured Streptococcus sp.
Lineage: Bacteria; Bacillati; Bacillota; Bacilli; Lactobacillales; Streptococcaceae
Description: partial 16S ribosomal RNA
Rfam family: Bacterial small subunit ribosomal RNA
Source: RNAcentral
UCAUCAUGCCCCUUAUGACCUGGGCUACACACGUGCUACAAUGGUUGGUACAACGAGUUGCGAGUCGGUGACGGCGAGCUAAUCUCUUAAAGCCAAUCUCAGUUCGGAUUGUAGGCUGCAACUCGCCUACAUGAAGUCGGAAUCGCUAGUAAUCGCGGAUCAGCACGCCGCGGUGAAUACGUUCCCGGGCCUU